This 76-nucleotide ribosomal RNA is filed under the name Chitinimonas sp. BJB300. RNAcentral's name for it is "partial 16S ribosomal RNA". It matches the Rfam family "Bacterial small subunit ribosomal RNA", at positions 1 to 69 of the family's 1533-position model. The record is from RNAcentral. Lineage: Bacteria; Pseudomonadati; Pseudomonadota; Betaproteobacteria; Neisseriales; Chitinibacteraceae.
AGAGAUUGAACUCAAGAGUUUGAUCCUGGCUCAGAUUGAACGCUGGCGGCAUGCUUUACACAUGCAAGUCGAACGG